Molecule: non-coding RNA, 662 nt
Organism: Macaca mulatta (Rhesus monkey)
Lineage: Eukaryota; Metazoa; Chordata; Mammalia; Primates; Cercopithecidae
Source: RefSeq, a predicted model, not a curated record
UCUGAUACUGGUGGGAUGCGGGAGGUCCCCAGACACUGGGGGAAUCUCGACCCCAGCUGUGGUGUCCAGGCUCUUGACACCACCUCAAGAAUGAAGUGAAGGAUGAGUCAGCAAAUAGUGAAAGAAGAGAUUUAUUGCAAAGCAAAAAGUACGCACUCAAGAAAGGGGAGUUUGGUAUAUCCAAGACAGAACAAUGGGUUCUGGGGUUUCAUCUUGAUGGGUUUCUUCAACCAAGGAGUGGAAUAUUCAUGAAAAUUCCCAGGUAAAAGUGGAAAUUUCUCGGAACUGUGGUGCGAUCCAUUUUUACAUCAAAUAAUGAUCUCAGAACCGUCAUGGCACUGGUAGAAUAUAAAAAACUAACACAAGGUAAGGGCUAAGGUCUGGAGAUGGCUGCCCAAGAGAUGACAAAGUCCAACACCACGCUUGAGAGUGUCCAACCAUCUCUUCUGGGGCAGCACAGUUUUCUACAAUCCUGAAUUUGGAAAACAAGCAACAAGAUUCAUGAAACUGGACAACUGUCUUUAUAACAUUACCAGUGAUAAAACCAGUAAGGAAGGCUGGUUUGCAGUCAUCCGACCUGCCUCUUUACUUUCAUAAAUACGGUUUCUCUCUGAUAGUAAACGGCUUCCAAUUUCAAGCGGAAUGCUACAUCACAAGGAUAA